Non-coding RNA from Galeopterus variegatus (Sunda flying lemur), 358 nucleotides. Lineage: Eukaryota; Metazoa; Chordata; Mammalia; Dermoptera; Cynocephalidae. The record is from the annotation of a RefSeq genome assembly.
AUGGACAUGAGGGCCCCUGCUCAGCUCCUGGGGUUCCUGCUGCUCUGGCUCCCAGGUGCCAGAUGUGACAUCCAGAUGACACAGUCUCCAUCAUCCCUGUCUGCAUCUCUAGGAGACAGAGUCACCAUAACUUGUCAAGCCAGUGAGGAUAUUUACGGUGCUUUAGCAUGGUAUCAGCAGAAACCAGGGAAAGCUCCUAAGCUUCUGAUCUAUGGUGCAUCCAAUUUGCACACUGGGGUCUCAUCAAGGUUCAGUGGCAGUGGAUCUGGGACAGAUUAUUUUCUCACCAUCAGCAGCCUGGAGUCUGAAGAUGUUGCAAUUUAUUACUGUCAACAGUAUGGUAAUGCCUAUUACUACA